GGUUAAGUGACUAAGCGUACACGGUGGAUGCCUUGGCAGUCAGAGGCGAUGAAAGACGUAGUAACUUGCGAUAAGCCCAGAUUAGGUAGUAACAACCAUUUGAGUCUGGGA
This 111-nucleotide ribosomal RNA is filed under the name Vibrio parahaemolyticus. Its description in RNAcentral is "partial 23S ribosomal RNA". It matches the Rfam family "Bacterial large subunit ribosomal RNA", at positions 1 to 110 of the family's 2925-position model. Lineage: Bacteria; Pseudomonadati; Pseudomonadota; Gammaproteobacteria; Vibrionales; Vibrionaceae. The record is from RNAcentral.